Molecule: ribosomal RNA, 253 nt
Filed under: uncultured prokaryote
Description: partial 16S ribosomal RNA
Rfam family: Bacterial small subunit ribosomal RNA
Source: RNAcentral
ACAGAGGGGGCAAGCGUUAUUCGGAAUUAUUGGGCGUAAAGGGCGCGUAGGCGGCUUUGCAAGUGACGGGUGAAAUCCCUCGGCUUAACCGAGGAACUGCCUGUCAAACUGCAUGGCUUGAGACCAGGAGAGGUGAGUGGAAUUCCCAGUGUAGCGGUGAAAUGCGUAGAUAUCGAGAGGAACACCUGCGGCGAAGGCGGGUUGCUGGGCUGACACUGACGCUGAGGCGCGAAAGCUAGGGGAGCGAACGGGA